GACGAACGCUGGCGGCGUGCUUAACACAUGCCAGUCGAACGGAAAGGCCCUGCUUUUGUGGGGUGCUCGAGUGGCGAACGGGUGAGUAACACGUGUGUAACCUGCCCUUGACUUUGGGAUAACUUCAGGAAACUGGGGCUAAUACCGGAUAGGAUCUCCUGCUGCAUGGUGGGGGUUGGAAAGUUUCGGCGGUUGGGGAUGGACUCGCGGCUUAUCAGCUUGUUGGUGGGGUAGUGGCUUACCAAGGCUUUGACGGGUAGCCGGCCUGAGAGGGUGACCGGCCACAUGGGAACUGGGAUACGGCCCAGACUCCUACGGGAGGCAGCAGUGGGGAAUAUUGAACAAUGGGCGGAAGCCUGAUGCAGCAACGCCGCGUGCGGGAUGACGGCCUUCGGGUUGUAAACCGCUUUCGCCUGUGACGAAGCGUGAGUGACGGUAAUGGGUAAAGAAGCACCGGCUAACUACGU
Molecule: ribosomal RNA, 467 nt
Filed under: uncultured bacterium
Lineage: Bacteria
Description: partial 16S ribosomal RNA
Rfam family: Bacterial small subunit ribosomal RNA
Source: RNAcentral